GCCAGGUGUGGUGGUGCACACCUGUAAUCCCAGUGGCUUAGGAGGCUGAGGCAGGAGGAUCACUAGUUCAAAGUCAGCCUCAACUUAACAAGGCCCUAAGCAACUCAGUGAGACCCUGUCUCUA
RNAcentral lists this small RNA (124 nucleotides) under Marmota monax (woodchuck). Lineage: Eukaryota; Metazoa; Chordata; Mammalia; Rodentia; Sciuridae. The record is from RNAcentral.